AUCCAGCUUGAAGAGUCCCAAAAAGGACGAAUCGCGCGUCCUGGAU
This 46-nucleotide non-coding RNA is filed under the name Schistosoma curassoni. Lineage: Eukaryota; Metazoa; Platyhelminthes; Trematoda; Strigeidida; Schistosomatidae. The record is from RNAcentral.